This 554-nucleotide ribosomal RNA is filed under the name fungal sp. CMU37. RNAcentral describes it as "eukaryotic LSU rRNA". The stretch from base 196 to 349 matches the Rfam family "5.8S ribosomal RNA". The record is from RNAcentral. Lineage: Eukaryota; Fungi.
GACUGCGGAGAUCAUUACCGAGUUGAUUCGAGCUCCGGCUCGACUCUCCCACCCUAUGUGUACCUACCUCUGUUGCUUUGGCGGGCCGCGGUCCUCCGCACCGGCGCCCUUCGGGGGGCUGGCCAGCGCCCGCCAGAGGACCAUAAAACUCCAGUCAGUGAACUUCGCAGUCUGAAAAACAAGUUAAUAAACUAAAACUUUCAACAACGGAUCUCUUGGUUCUGGCAUCGAUGAAGAACGCAGCGAAAUGCGAUAAGUAAUGUGAAUUGCAGAAUUCAGUGAAUCAUCGAAUCUUUGAACGCACAUUGCGCCCCUUGGUAUUCCGAGGGGCAUGCCUGUUCGAGCGUCAUUUCAACCCUCAAGCUCUGCUUGGUAUUGGGCCCCGUCCUCCACGGACGCGCCUUAAAGACCUCGGCGGUGGCGUCUUGCCUCAAGCGUAGUAGAAAACACCUCGCUUUGGAGCGCACGGCGUCGCCCGCCGGACGAACCUUUGAAUUAUUUCUCAAGGUUGACCUCGGAUCAGGUAGGGAUACCCGCUGAACUUAAGCAUAUCU